Long non-coding RNA from Lagopus muta (rock ptarmigan), 1016 nucleotides. RefSeq lists it as uncharacterized. The record is from RefSeq and is a predicted model, not a curated record. The transcript has 3 exons. NCBI's taxonomy places the organism in Eukaryota, Metazoa, Chordata, Aves, Galliformes, Phasianidae.
GAUCUUUUUCUGGAGAUUCCUCCUUUUGGAGUUUUCUACUGUGAGCCUAUGACACAGGAGCAAAGUAACCAUCUCCAACAUCCCCAGGGAAGAUCUACAUAAGAGGUGAGACGUUUUCUAGAUGUGUCCAUUUGCUGCGGCACCUGAUUUUAGAAUUAUAUCAGCUUGUGAGCCUCCGAACAGAAACUUGGCAGAGAUGAUGGUGUUUUUCAGCAGCCAGAAAUAUUUGUUUCCCCUUACACAAUUUUCCUGGGUGGACUGAAUCCACCACUACACCCUGUUUUCUACCCUCCAAGAGGCCCAGGACAGUACUGAGAAAACUCACAUGUAUGCAGUGGGGUCACGCAAUAGCUAGGGGAGCUCUGGGAGUAGACUGAAGGAAGAGAUGAGCAGAAACUGAACUACAGCUUUUCUGAGGCACUUUAGCAGCAAUCCUUCAUGAAAGCAUAAACUGUUUUGAGCUGUGGCUUUCUGGUUGUGGAUCUAGCUUUUUUUUUUUUUUAAAUUAUUAUUUUAUUAUGUUUGUGCAAGGGAAAUAUAUUUAUGUGCUAAGCAAGCAUUGAAAAAAAUAAUAGGUGCAAUUCUUAUGACAGGUAGCUGUAAUUCUUUUUUUCUGUAAACACGUUCCAGUAAUGUUUAUAAAUGCUCCUAACUCACGCUUGGAUAUGUAUGAAAAUUAAUAUAAAACACUGCUAUGAUUGGAAGUAAGAAAGUCACCUGCUGGCUGUUUUUCAUAUCUGUGGGGCAACCUGAUCUGGUGCCUGGUUUAGUGGUUGGCAACGCUGCCCAUGGCAGGGGGUUGGAACUCAAUGAUCUUUGAGCUCCCUUCCAGCCUAAGCUAUUCUAUGGUUCGUAUGGGAGAGGCCAGUGCUGACCUAGUGUCAAGACCAGCACCUGUGCACACUGUAGGCAUGGUCGUGGUGGGUAAACACUAAGCUCUGAUCCUUGCUGUCCAUGUUCUGUGGAUAAAUGAGGGAUUUCACACUCAACAGUCAUCAAACCACAGUUAUUAUAGA